Molecule: ribosomal RNA, 422 nt
Filed under: uncultured bacterium
Lineage: Bacteria
Description: bacterial SSU rRNA
Rfam family: Bacterial small subunit ribosomal RNA
Source: RNAcentral
UGAGGAAUAUUGGGCAAUGCCCGCAAGGGUGACCCAGCAACGCCGCGUGGAGGAUGAAUGUCGUAGGAUUGUAAACUCCUGUUAGAGGGGAAGAAUAGUACCGGUUGGACCGGUAUAUGACUGUACCCUCAGAGAAAGCCCCGGCUAACUACGUGCCAGCAGCCGCGGUAAUACGUAGGGGGCAAGCGUUGUCCGGAUUUACUGGGUGUAAAGGGCGCGCAGGCGGGAUAAAAAGUCAGUGGUGAAAUCCUACAGCUUAACUGUAGAACUGCCUUUGAUACUUUUAUUCUUGAGUUCGGGAGAGAGAGACGGAAUUCCAGGUGUAGUGGUGAAAUACGUAGAUAUCUGGAAGAACACCAGUUGCGAAGGCGGUCUCUUGGUCCGACACUGACGCUGAGGCGCGAAAGCGUGGGGAGCAAACA